Molecule: ribosomal RNA, 721 nt
Filed under: uncultured rumen bacterium
Lineage: Bacteria
Description: bacterial SSU rRNA
Rfam family: Bacterial small subunit ribosomal RNA
Source: RNAcentral
UUUUUUACGAUCCCUUCGGGGUGACGAAUUUGUGACUGAGUGGCGGACGGGUGAGUAACGCGUGGGAAACCUGCCUUGUACCGGGGGAUAGCAGUUGGAAACGACUGAUAAUACCGCAUAAGCGCACAGUAUCACAUGAUACAGUGUGAAAAACUCCGGUGGUACAAGAUGGUCCCGCGUCUGAUUAGCUUGUUGGCGGGGUAAUGGCCCACCAAGGCGACGAUCAGUAGCCGACCUGAGAGGGUGACCGGCCACAUUGGGACUGAGACACGGCCCAAACUCCUACGGGAGGCAGCAGUGGGGAAUAUUGCACAAUGGAGGAAACUCUGAUGCAGCGACGCCGCGUGAGCGAUGAAGUAUUUCGGUAUGUAAAGCUCUAUCAGCAGGGAAGAUAAUGACGGUACCUGAGUAAGAAGCUCCGGCUAAAUACGUGCCAGCAGCCGCGGUAAUACGUAUGGAGCAAGCGUUAUCCGGAUUUACUGGGUGUAAAGGGAGUGUAGGCGGCUUUGCAAGUCAGAUGUGAAAGCCCGGGGCUCAACCCCGGGACUGCAUUUGAAACUGUGAAGCUGGAGUGUCGGAGAGGUAAGUGGAAUUCCUAGUGUAGCGGUGAAAUGCGUAGAUAUUAGGAAGAACACCAGUGGCGAAGGCGGCUUACUGGACGAUUACUGACGCUGAGGCUCGAAAGCGUGGGGAGCAAACAGGAUUAGAUACCCUGGUAGUC